RNAcentral lists this ribosomal RNA (466 nucleotides) under Vreelandella stevensii. RNAcentral's name for it is "partial 16S ribosomal RNA". It matches the Rfam family "Bacterial small subunit ribosomal RNA", at positions 338 to 795 of the family's 1533-position model. The record is from RNAcentral. Lineage: Bacteria; Pseudomonadati; Pseudomonadota; Gammaproteobacteria; Oceanospirillales; Halomonadaceae.
UCUACGGGCGGCAGCAGUGGGGAAUAUUGGACAAUGGGCGAAAGCCUGAUCCAGCCAUGCCGCGUGUGUGAAGAAGGCCUUCGGGUUGUAAAGCACUUUCAGUGGGGAAGAAAGCCUUGGGGCUAAUACCCUCGAGGAAGGACAUCACCCACAGAAGAAGCACCGGCUAACUCCCGUGCCAGCAGCCGCGGUAAUACGGAGGGUGCGAGCGUUAAUCGGAAUUACUGGGCGUAAAGCGCGCGUAGGCGGUCUGAUAAGCCGGUUGUGAAAGCCCCGGGCUCAACCUGGGAACGGCAUCCGGAACUGUCAGGCUAGAGUGCAGGAGAGGAAGGUAGAAUUCCCGGUGUAGCGGUGAAAUGCGUAGAGAGCGGGAGGAAUACCAGUGGCGAAGGCGGCCUUCUGGACUGACACUGACGCUGAGGUGCGAAAGCGUGGGUAGCAAACAGGAUUAGAUACCCCAGUAGUC